Molecule: transfer-messenger RNA, 358 nt
Filed under: Rhizobiales bacterium 65-79
Lineage: Bacteria; Pseudomonadati; Pseudomonadota; Alphaproteobacteria; Hyphomicrobiales
Also listed under: 1 other name
Rfam family: Alphaproteobacteria transfer-messenger RNA
About the family: Bacterial tmRNA, also known as 10Sa RNA or SsrA, is named for its dual tRNA and mRNA-like properties. Its role is to liberate the mRNA from a stalled ribosome.
Source: RNAcentral
CACCUUGAAUUUCUGCCCACACUCCACUACUUUCAGAUUGCCGUCGCGAGACGGAUAUGGUGCUAAACCGACUGUGCAAUAGACGAACCGGACGCGGUUUCGAAACCGCCACCUCCACUGAGAGCCCACGUACGGCGUGGGUUGUCAUUGGGGGUGAAAUGGGAUCGACGGGCGUUGAAAGACAGUUCGCUGUACCCGGCAUUGUACCACCGUUAUCGGGCUAAACUUAUAGUUGCCAACGACAACUAUGCUGAGGCACGUCUCGCUGCUUAAUGCGGCGCGAUAGUCUCGAAUCAAGCCCUAGGGGUUAGCCCCUCUAGGCGGGGUCCGGAGGUACCUGGCAACAGAAACCUCCACU